CCACUGGGGACAAGCCUCGAGAGUAGCCUCGGAUUUGGAAUUCCCUAGAAGCAGAGCGUGUGCAAAGAACUCCCAGGCUGUCCUCACACUGGAAGAUCUGAUCCUUAGUUCUGAAUCCUCAGGGCUGUAAAGAGAACUUCAAACUCCAGCUGGAAGGGUGGCCUCUGCGGAGAGGGCUGGAGGAGGAGACAGUGCCAUCUUUUCAGGUGUGGGCCCUUGAGCGGUAAAUGCCUGCUGUCACAUGAGAAGAGCCAGGUACAGAGUGUUUACAGAAACCAACCGUAAAUCCCGGAGUCGCGGAACAUCCUUCAUCAUUUCUUGUAAGUCUCAGGGAAGAUGUGCCAGUGCCUCGAAGUAUAAAUCAGCAUCAUCUUGAACCUCUGACUGAUGUGAUUGGACAGGAAGAAGAAGUAAAAUAAGCAUUAAAAAUGAGAGAAAAGGUUACUAUAAUUUGGAGAAGAUGCGAUGGUAUGUCUAGAGAACCUGUAAGUUUUAAAUAAAAAUCAUUCAACAAAUAAAG
Molecule: long non-coding RNA, 520 nt
Filed under: Heterocephalus glaber (naked mole-rat)
Lineage: Eukaryota; Metazoa; Chordata; Mammalia; Rodentia; Bathyergidae
Description: lncRNA (ENSHGLG00000042771.1)
Source: RNAcentral